AGUCACUGCUAUUGGGGUUCGGCUAAGCCAUGCGAGCGGAGGGCGCGGUCGCAAGAUCGUGGCCCCGCACACGGCUCAGUAACACGUAGUCAACCUACCCUUGGGACGGGGACAACGCCGGGAAACUGGCGAUAAUCCCCGAUAGGUGAGGGAUGCUGGGAUGCUUCUUCGCUCAAAGCUCCGGCGCCCGAGGAUGGGACUGCGGCCUAUCAGGCUGUUGGUGGUGUGACGGACCACCAAACCUACGACGGGUACGGGCGAUGGGAGUCGGAGCCUGGAGAUGGGGGCUGAGACAAGGCCCCAGGCCCUACGGGGCGCAGCAGGCGCGAAAACUCCGCAAUGCGCGCAAGCGUGACGGGGGAACCCCAAGUGCCGUUGGCUUUUGAUCGACGGCUUUUCGGAAGUCCAAUAAGCUUCCGGAAUAAGGGCUGGGUAAGACUGGUGCCAGCCGCCGCGGUAACACCAGCAGCCCAAGUGGUGGCCGCGAUAUUGGGCCUAAAGCGCUCGUAGCCGGAUCAGCAAGUCCUUUGUGAAAUCGGACCGCCCAACGGUUCGGCGUGCAAAGGAUACUGUUGGUCUUGAGACCGGGAGAGGUCGGAGGUACUCUUGGGGUAGCGGUGAAAUGCUGUAAUCCUGGGGGGACCACCAGUGGCGAAGGCGUCCGACCAGAACGGAUCUGACGGUGAGGGGCGAAGGCUAGGGGAGCGAACGGGAUUAGAUACCCGGUAGUCCUAGCUGUAAAGCAUGCGGGCCAGGUGUCUAGCGCUCCUUGAGGGCGCUAUGUGCCGGAGGGAAGCCGUUAAGCCCGCCGCCUGGGAAGUACGGCCGCAAGGCUGAAACUUAAAGAAAUUGGCGGGGGAGCACCACAAGGGGUGGAACCUGCGGUUCA
RNAcentral lists this ribosomal RNA (889 nucleotides) under uncultured euryarchaeote. RNAcentral describes it as "bacterial SSU rRNA". It matches the Rfam family "Archaeal small subunit ribosomal RNA", at positions 21 to 904 of the family's 1478-position model. The record is from RNAcentral. Lineage: Archaea; Methanobacteriati; Methanobacteriota.